UAUUGUGCAUGUUUUUUUCACUUGUUACUUACCUUACUAAUUCUGACUGACCCCGAGAAAUGGUAAAUGGAUUGUUUAGAUUUUGCCUCGUCUAAAAGUCAGAGGUUAGGAUUGAAUGUUGGGUUAUGAUCGAGUUUUGGUUUUGGCUGAGAGAUUUUGAGUGAAAUUAGAAGCAAAUGUGACUCGCAGAAAGUUAUUUCUACCGUAUGGGAUAAAAUGCCACUGCAAAUCGAUGCGGACGGACUUGUUUUUACUAACUACUAACCCGGGGUGUAGGUUAAGUGAGAAAGGUGAAUGACAGCCAUAUUCUUUCAACUUAAGAAUAGUCAUUCACCUACAUUUGUCAACUACCUAGCUCAUGUAUGGCUCCUCGAAUGCCACACCCUGGGCAACAGUCUUGGCUGACUGGCUAAAUACAUGAGUAAUUUAUGAGCUGAAUAUUUACAGGAUAGUCCUUGUUUUGCAUGAAUCAAAACAAGAAAUCUGCAGGAAAUGACAUCAUAGGUUACAGAGCUUGAGUGUUGUGUCAGGCAUGGUUAUGCAAUCUUUGAUGAUACAAACAUGUGGCUUUGGGUGCCUUCUACAUUGAGACUACAUGAAGAGAUCAUCAAGGCCACCAAACAGUCCAUCAUCCACAUAACCAGAUCCAGUAAACAGAAAAGUCCAAAGCAAGCAUUACACCCAAUUCAGCCCUAUUCUAAGGAGUGCAAAGUUGCUUUCAAGUAAGAGAUCGUCAAAUUUUUCUUAACAUAUCCUAUAGAUGAGAAUGAUCUAUGCAUGCACUACAGAUGCUGUUCUUUUCACGAGGAAGCCUGCUCAAGAAGCUGCUGCGUGGAAGUCAAAAUAUGAUCGCUUUACUGAUGUUGAAAUUAUUGCCACCACCCUUGAAGUUAGCCUGUAAAGAAUGCAAAAGAUAGAAUGAAAAUGCUUUCUUCAUUUCUUGUUUGUGUCAUUAUAUUUGUCUUUUGUGUUGGUUUAUUCUGUAAAUAAAGAUUUAACAAAUUUUU
Biomphalaria glabrata is the source of this 1007-nucleotide long non-coding RNA. RefSeq lists it as uncharacterized. The record is from RefSeq and is a predicted model, not a curated record. Lineage: Eukaryota; Metazoa; Mollusca; Gastropoda; Planorbidae. The transcript is spliced from 5 exons.